This 604-nucleotide ribosomal RNA is filed under the name uncultured bacterium. RNAcentral describes it as "bacterial SSU rRNA". The stretch from base 1 to 524 matches the Rfam family "Bacterial small subunit ribosomal RNA", at positions 338 to 873 of the family's 1533-position model. The record is from RNAcentral.
CCUACGGGAGGCAGCAGUGAGGAAUUUUCCGCAAUGGGCGAAAGCCUGACGGAGCAAUGCCGCGUGGAGGAGGAAGGCCUGUGGGUCGUAAACUCCUUUUCUCAGAGAAGAAGUUCUGACGGUAUCUGAGGAAUAAGCAUCGGCUAACUCUGUGCCAGCAGCCGCGGUAAUACAGGGGAUGCAAGCGUUAUCCGGAAUUAUUGGGCGUAAAGCGUCCUGAGGUGGCUUACCCAGUCGACUGUGAAAGCUCAAGGCUUAACCUUGAAACGGCAGUCGAAACUUGUAAGCUUAAGUACGGUAGGGGCAGAGGGAAUUCCCGGAGGAGAGGUGAAAUUCGUAGAUAUCGGGAGGAAGGCCAAAGGCGAAAGCACUCUGCUGGGCCGAUUACUGACACUGACAGACGAAAGCUAGGGGAGCGAAAGGGAUUAGAUACCCCUGUAGUCCUAGCCGUAAACGAUGGAUACUAAGUGUUGCGCGACUCAAAACGUGCGAGNGNUGNANACUACGUACGGUAGUACUCCGUCCGUGGUAGUAGUCGCCGCGAGGUAGUAAACGUUAAGUAAGUAGUAGACGNGAGAGAGACGACGACGACGACGAGGAGGAG